UGCCAGCCGCCGCGGUAAUACAGAGGUGACAAACGUUGUCCGGAAUCACUGGGCGUAAAGGGCAUGCAGGCGGUUUGGUAAGUCAGGUGUGAAAUCUUCGGGCUCAACCCGGAAAUUGCACUUGAUACUGCUAAACUUGAGUUCGGUAGAGGAGGGCGGAAUUCCUGGUGUAGCGGUGAAAUGCGUAGAUAUCAGGAGGAACACCGGUGGCGAAGGCGGCCCUCUGGUCCGAUACUGACACUGAGAUGCGAAAGUGUGGGGAGCAAACAGUAUUAGAUA
This 279-nucleotide ribosomal RNA is filed under the name uncultured bacterium. RNAcentral's name for it is "partial 16S ribosomal RNA". It matches the Rfam family "Bacterial small subunit ribosomal RNA", at positions 506 to 784 of the family's 1533-position model. The record is from RNAcentral.